CGCUAAUAACAAAUUAUUCGAUUCACUUGUACGAGUGGAUGGGAUGCGCACGCGCUCUUGACUGUUUGACAGAAGGAAGCGGAAGUGUGACGUCAGGAGUAGAGGUUGAUACUACAGCUACCGUAAAAUACCAAAUAAUAGCCCGGGCUAUUAUUUGUCUCAAUCACGUAAAAGACCCGGCGCGUAUUAGAGACUAGGCGGCUAUUUGGAACAGGCGAUUAAUUCCUUCUUCACAAACACCUUCCCCAAAAUCUACCUCAAAACGGGGAAAAAUCAUUCUCAGAUAGGCCUACUUUUAACCAGUAUAACUUACAGUUUGUUUAGAGUUAGAUUACAGAUAGCACGGUGCCGACUUCGGGGAAUUUUGAAGACGCAGAAUGCAUCUUCGCAUGGCACAGUCGGGACAAUGGUAGCAUCGCAGAUAUCCACUGGCACCUCUCAUUCACAGUUUAUGAAAGAAACCUGCUCAAACACAUGGCAAAGAAACUUCCAGAAAAAUCUUGUCACCUCCGAUGUCUACAGCUUGUUUCUUUCUUGCACAAAAAACAGUCAGGUCUAAGAGGGGGAAGUGCCCUUACAAAUUACCAUCUGAAGACUGCAUUCUUGCAUCUUCUGUUGAGUAAACCUCCUUCAGCAUGGAAACCACUGAAUCUGGACCAGAGGUUGCGGGACUUGUCUUUUCUACAGAAAAGCUUGCAGGAAAAGAGACUUACUCAUAUUAUCAUUGGGAACCCACUUGUUCCACUUGAAAUUGGAGUUCCACCAAUAUUUCAGGCUGCAGAACCAAUAAACCUUUUCAGGCCUUUGGUGUUACAGAGGCAAGUAUAUGCAAAGAUGGUGGAAGAUUUUGAAGAGAUGCUCAGAAAUGCCCCAGUGCUUAUUCAAGAGUACACGCCCCACUUCACUAAUGGUGGACUUAAUUCAACAACCGUGUCUUAGAAUGACUGACUGCACCAGUGGAACUUUGGGACUCAAUAGCUUGCUCAUCAGUUCUAAAGACUUUCAGACCAUAACUGCAUAAUGUUCUAUGUAAUUUUUUUUCUUUUAGCACUGAAAUUACUAAGAUUGUACAUUGAUAAAAAGCAUUGUGAUUCCAUGUAGGCAGCUAUUAUGUGCUAAUAUGCAUGGUUUAUAUUAUGCAAAUGCUUAUUUAAGUUUAGUGUUACUUUAAACAUUUUUUUUUUAAAAUAGAGACGUGUGCAGGUCUGAGCUCAGCCUUUUACAUCAACGCCAUGAUUCAAACUGACGUUGCAAAAUCUGUUCUUUUCCUGGGCAGUGCUCUAGACCACUUGGUUAUGGAAGAUUACAUCACAAAUGGAGGUUAUGUAAUGUGGUGCUUACAUAGUGAGUACGCAGUGGCACCACACUCACUGUGGAAAUCACUACCUGAAGCUGGCAUACCAAUUACAUUCUUAAACACACUCGAACUCGGUUAAACAUGCACAUACAGACAGGUGCCUCUAUAGGCUUCAGCCAAAGGCUGAGCCAAUUAAUCAUAUUACUGGGCCUCAGCAGUAUUAUAUAAAAUUGUUAUUUUUGUUUGUAAAGUGAUUUGAAUAGCAUCCUAUACACUUAAGACAGUUUACAAAGAUUCAGGUCUGACAUACCCCGUGAGCAUGGUAAAAUCAUUUUAGAGCAAUUGCUUUAGUGCAGUUGACAUUUUCACAAAGCAUCUUGAUACAACCAAUGGCAGAGUGGCACAGUGGGUAGUGUUGCUCAGUCAUAGCUCUAAAGCUUCUGGGUUGAUCUUUGAGUUCCUGUCUGUGUGGAGUUUCUGUGCAUGUUCAUGCCAGGAGGUGGACUGGCUACUUGCCCUUAGCUGUGAAUGUGUGUGUGCCUGGCACCCUGCAAUGGACUGGUGUCCCAUCCAUCCAUCCAUUAUCUAUUCCACUUAUCCAUCAGGGUUGCAAGGGAAGCUGGAGUCAAACCCAUGCCAAGAACAUGCAAACUCCACACAGAAAGGCAGCAGUCAGCUAUGAGGUUUAAACCCAGAACCUUAUUACUGUGAGGCAACAGUGCUAACCACUGCACUACCAUACUUCCCCCAGGGUGUAUUCCCUAUAAGCAUAUCCACUCUUCAGAUAAAAGACACCAGUUUUCCUCUGGGACACAAGCGGAAUUAAAAUCAUAGACAAAAUGUACAAACUUGGAAUUUAAAGGCACUUUAAUACCAUUUUAUGAUGAAGUCUGUGACAAUGCGUUAUACUUGUACAAAAGGUCUGUACUGAAAAACAGUAUUCAUUUUAGAGUUAGAAUUAUUUUAGUAUAGGCACAUGUUUAUAAGCCAUAGUCAAAAUUGGGGUUUCCCUCCAAGAAUGAGUCCAUAAAGGCUUUGUAGACAUCCGUGCUGAACAUGACUGCCUUCACUGGUGGAUCCUCUUUCAUGCACAAAAUCCAGUUGUUCAGCUCUGGAGUGCCAUCCAGACAGCUGAAAAAGAAUGAGAGCAUGUCUAUAUACAAAACGUUCUGAAACUAUAAACAAAAUCUCCAAAUGCAGAGAUAGCAUACAUGACCGUUAUUGCGCACUUAUUAAUUAAAAAAAAAAAAAAAAGCCUUAAAAUUCCCACCAUCAGGUGAAUACAACAUGAAUCUGCUUUGGUUCAAAUACACUUUUUUUUCUUUUAUUGUGCUCUUGUAUAAAUAAGAAAUCAUACUGUUUGAGCUGCCAGGCCUCCAACCUCUCAAACCACGGCCAGAUCAGGUAGUCAAUCAUAGUGACUGAAUCACCUCCAAAGAAUUUGGUUUUCUUGUUAACAAGAACCUGCAAAAGUAUAAAAUAAAAGUUAAAAUAAAUGCAGCUUUAUAUGCAAUGUUGAGACCUGAACCACAUCCAAAUAUCUGUAUAGUCAGUGUAAACAGUUUAAAGCCUCCAUUUAUUGUUUUGGAUUAAAACUGUAAUUCCACUCAAACAGGAUAGUGAUAUAUUUACCAUUUAAAUGUUGCAUUAUACCUUGUUCAGUUUGGAGAACUUUUCCUUCAACUCUUCUUCUAGUGCUGACACAUCCUCACCUUUUACUCUGGUCAUAGGAAUUUUGUAGAACAGAGGAAUGAUCUGAAAGUAAAGAUUCUGUUGUGAAUUUGGUAUUCCUGAAGGCUCCUUUAAAACCCCAAACACAAGAACUGGUACUGAAACAAAACAGACCUUGACAUCUUUUUGAAAUAAAAUUAUAUUCCACAUA
This is a long non-coding RNA of Neoarius graeffei (lesser salmon catfish), 3179 nucleotides long. RefSeq lists it as uncharacterized. NCBI's taxonomy places the organism in Eukaryota, Metazoa, Chordata, Actinopteri, Siluriformes, Ariidae. The transcript is spliced from 2 exons. The record is from RefSeq and is a predicted model, not a curated record.